RNAcentral lists this transfer RNA (72 nucleotides) under Phrynosoma platyrhinos (Desert horned lizard). Its description in RNAcentral is "tRNA-OTHER". Lineage: Eukaryota; Metazoa; Chordata; Lepidosauria; Squamata; Phrynosomatidae. The record is from RNAcentral.
GCAGAUGUGGUGUAGUGGUUUCAGUGUUGGACUAUAACUCUAGAGACAAGGGUUCGAAUCCCAGCUCGACCA